UAUUAUUUACUUGAUCUUGAUAUCCUACGUGGAUAACUGUGGUAAUUCUAGAGCUAAUACAUGCACCAAAGCUCCGAUUUUUGACGAGCGCAUCUAUUAGAUUAAAACCAAUCGGAUUUCGGUCCGUCAUUUGGUGACUCUGAAUAGCUAUGGCUGAUCGCAUGGUCUUGUACCGGCGACGUAUCUAUCAAGUGUCUGCCUUAUCAACUUUCGAUGGUAGUUUAUGUGCCUACCAUGGUUGUUACGGGUAACGGAGAAUAAGGGUUCGACUCCGGAGAGGGAGCCUGAGAAACGGCUACCACAUCCAAGGAAGGCAGCAGGCGCGCAAAUUACCCACUCUCGGCAUGAGGAGGUAGUGACGAAAAAUAACGAGACCGUUCUCUAUGAGGCCAGUUAUCGGAAUGGGUACAAUUUAAACCCGUUAACGAGGAUCUAUGAGAGGGCAAGUCUGGUGCCAGCAGCCGCGGUAAUUCCAGCUCUCAAAGUGUAUAUCGUCAUUGCUGCGGUUAAAAAGCUCGUAGUUGGAUCUGCGCCUCAGGACUCGGUCCGCCCACUGGGUGAGAACUGGGCUCCUAGGCUAAUACUGCUGGUUUUCCCUAUGUUGCCUUCAUCGGUCGCGUAGGGUGGCUAGCGAGUUUACUUUGAAAAAAUUAGAGUGCUUCACGCGGGCUAUUGUCUGAAUACUCGUGCAUGGAAUAAUAGAAUAGGAUCUCGGUUCUAUUUUGUUGGUUUUCUGAUCUGAGAUAAUGGUUAAGAGGGACGGACGGGGGCAUUCGUAUCGCUGCGUGAGAGGUGAAAUUCUUGGACCGUAGCGAGACGUCCGACUGCGAAAGCAUUUGCCAAGAAUGUCUUCAUUAAUCAAGAACGAAAGUCAGAGGUUCGAA
Molecule: ribosomal RNA, 884 nt
Filed under: Cosmocerca sp. s YL-2022
Lineage: Eukaryota; Metazoa; Nematoda; Chromadorea; Rhabditida; Cosmocercidae
Description: SSU rRNA
Rfam family: Eukaryotic small subunit ribosomal RNA
Source: RNAcentral